Non-coding RNA from Schistocerca americana (American grasshopper), 73 nucleotides. The record is from the annotation of a RefSeq genome assembly. NCBI's taxonomy places the organism in Eukaryota, Metazoa, Arthropoda, Insecta, Orthoptera, Acrididae.
GCCUCCCUAGCGCAGCGGUAGCGUUAUUGCUUACCACGCAAGGGGGCCCGGGUUCGAUUCCCGGGAGAGGGCU